RNAcentral lists this transfer RNA (75 nucleotides) under Shigella phage vB_SflM_004. Its description in RNAcentral is "tRNA-Trp". It matches the Rfam family "tRNA". Rfam says of the family: Transfer RNA (tRNA) molecules are approximately 80 nucleotides in length. Their secondary structure includes four short double-helical elements and three loops (D, anti-codon, and T loops). Lineage: Duplodnaviria; Heunggongvirae; Uroviricota; Caudoviricetes; Andersonviridae. The record is from RNAcentral.
AGGUUCUUAGUUCAGUCGGUAGAAUACCGGAUUCCAAAUCCGAAGACGUGGGUUCGAUUCCUACAGAGCCUGCCA